RNAcentral lists this ribosomal RNA (253 nucleotides) under uncultured bacterium. RNAcentral's name for it is "partial 16S ribosomal RNA". It matches the Rfam family "Bacterial small subunit ribosomal RNA", at positions 524 to 776 of the family's 1533-position model. The record is from RNAcentral.
UACGGAGGGGACUAGCGUUGUUCGGAAUUACUGGGCGUAAAGCGUGCGUAGACGGCUAUCUAAGUCGGGUGUGAAAGCCCCGGGCUCAACCUGGGAAUUGCAUUCGAGACUGAAUAGCUAGGGUACGGUAGAGGGAAGUGGAAUUUCCGGUGUAGCGGUGAAAUGCGUAGAUAUCGGAAGGAACAUCAGUGGCGAAAGCGACUUCCUGGACCAGUACCGACGUUCAGGCACGAAAGCGUGGGGAGCAAACAGG